Molecule: transfer RNA, 74 nt
Filed under: Candidatus Falkowbacteria bacterium CG_4_9_14_3_um_filter_38_19
Lineage: Bacteria; Candidatus Falkowiibacteriota
Also listed under: 2 other names
Description: tRNA-Met
Rfam family: tRNA
About the family: Transfer RNA (tRNA) molecules are approximately 80 nucleotides in length. Their secondary structure includes four short double-helical elements and three loops (D, anti-codon, and T loops). Further hydrogen bonds mediate the characteristic L-shaped molecular structure. tRNAs have two regions of fundamental functional importance: the anti-codon, which is responsible for specific mRNA codon recognition, and the 3' end, to which the tRNAs corresponding amino acid is attached (by aminoacyl-tRNA synthetases). tRNAs cope with the degeneracy of the genetic code in two manners: having more than one tRNA (with a specific anti-codon) for a particular amino acid; and 'wobble' base-pairing, i.e. permitting non-standard base-pairing at the 3rd anti-codon position.
Source: RNAcentral
GGCUGGGUAGCUCAGUUGGUUAGAGCGUGGCACUCAUAACGCCAAGGUCGUGGGUCCAAUCCCCACCCCAGCUA